RNAcentral lists this long non-coding RNA (1695 nucleotides) under Helianthus annuus (common sunflower). RNAcentral describes it as "hypothetical non coding rna". The record is from RNAcentral. Lineage: Eukaryota; Viridiplantae; Streptophyta; Magnoliopsida; Asterales; Asteraceae.
AUGCUAGAGAGCUCUUGGAAUGAUCAGAUGAAUGUCCAAGGAAAGCUCUCUAGAUCACUACACAACAUCCUAUACUGGUCAUGAUGAUGGGUAGAUGUCCCCUGAGUGAUAUGGGUCGAGCAUAGAGUGCCCAUGCCCCAUUAAUUGGUUGUUGGUCGUUCAAAGGGUCCAAAGGUCAAGUAGUUACAAUGUUUCUGCAUCUGGGCGUCCCACGCGGCCCGCAUGGGAGUUCCAUGCCAUUUUAAUGCGGGUCGCCUAGGAUUUGAAUAUCAGACGCGUAAUACAGGAGGCUCGCGGCCCGCCUCAACUUAACCAUAACCUUCACGCGGGUCGCGAGAGGUUAAGAUUUCAGAAAUUUUAAAUCUUUUGUCAUGAUUGCGAAAUCCUGGUAAUUAAUAACGAAAUCUUUCGUAAUGAUUUACCUGACCUUUCGGGUUUGAAAGGGUAACUUUGCGGUUUGGCCCUCGGUUAUUUACCGAUAGGGGCCUCGUGUUAUUUACCCGCGUUGUUAAGUCCCCGGUUUAUUUAUUAAUUAUUCAGAAAGCCUUAACUUCUGUUAUUGACGCUUUUAACCCUUCUCAUACGAAUCUGAGUAUAACUCUCUCGUUUUAAGACGGAACUUCGCGGAAUUUAUACAGUAUAUUCUAGUGAGCGUAUAAUACUGUUACGAAGUCUUGGGAACGUUAAAGGGUCACUCAGAGGUAUAAUUAAACAUGUUGACACAGUUAACCCCUGUAGUUCGUAAUCUCUCACUUUCUUCCGCGUUUCGCUUCCGUUCGAUUUAUGAUUUAUUCGUUUGAAGGUACAAGCGUUAUUUAGGGUUACUAUACAGUAUAUUUACCCUUGUUGACAUUUAUAACCCUCGAAUUUAUAUACUUUCAAGGUUUGUCAAAAUCAGUCCUUUAUUUAAUAUCAAUGCCACGUGUAAACAAAUGACACGUGUUAACACAUUAUUGGACACAAAAAUUCGAGGUGUUACAUCUAGCGAACAAAUCGAAUAAGAAUAAGCUACCAUCCGUUUUUAAACGGGUGAUUUUGAAUGCUCUAAUAAAUGCUAGAAGCUUAAUCCGUUAUACGGAUUGAAAGAAGAAGUUAUGAUUAAAAGCGAAAGACCCAGUUAUUUGGGUAGUGGAAUGUGUAUGCUUAACUCUCGUUGAGAGUGUUUAUGCCAAACCCAGUUAUUUGGGUAGUGGAAUGUGUAUGCUUAACUCUCGUUGAGAGUGUUUAUGCCAAACCCAGUUAUUUGGGUAGUGGAAUGUGUAUGCUUAACUCUCGUUGAGAGUGUUUAUGCCAAACCCAGUUAUUUGGGUAGUGGAAUGUGUAUGCUUAACUCUCGUUGAGAGUGUUUAUGCCAAACCCAGUUAUUUGGGUAGUGGAAUGUGUAUGCUUAACUCUCGUUGAGAGUGUUUAUGCCAAACCCAGUUAUUUGGGUAGUGGAAUAUCUAUGCUUAACUCUCGUUGAGAGUGUUUAUGCCGAAACCCAAUUAUUUGGGUAGUCGAAUGUGUAUGCUUAACUCUCAUUGAGAGCGAUUAUGCCGAACCCCAUUUACUUGGGUAGUUGAAUGUGUAAGAAAGAAGAAAGCUCCUAUAUGAAUAGAACUAAAAUGAAGUAAUUAUGAUUCGACAACUAAGAUGACUAACCUUAAAACCUUGUUGCUGAAGGUAGGUAAAACUCUAAGUUUUUGUUAAACACAU